This 253-nucleotide ribosomal RNA is filed under the name uncultured bacterium. Its description in RNAcentral is "partial 16S ribosomal RNA". It matches the Rfam family "Bacterial small subunit ribosomal RNA", at positions 524 to 776 of the family's 1533-position model. The record is from RNAcentral.
UACGGGGGGGGUAAGCGUUGUUCGGAAUUACUGGGCGUAAAGGGCUCGUAGGCGGCCAACUAAGUCAUACGUGAAAUCCCUCAGCUUAACUGGGGAACUGCGUGUGAUACUGGAUGGCUUGGAUUCGGGAGAGGAAUGCGGAAUUCCAGGUGUAGCGGUGAAAUGCGUAGAUAUCUGGAGGAACACCGGUGGCGAAGGCGGCAUUCUGGACCGAUAUUGACGCUGAGGAGCGAAAGCCAGGGGAGCAAACGGG